AUUGAACGCUGGCGGCAGGCCUAACACAUGCAAGUCGAACGGUAGCACAGAGAGCUUGCUCUCGGGUGACGAGUGGCGGACGGGUGAGUAACGUCUGGGAAACUGCCCGAUGGAGGGGGAUAACUACUGGAAACGGUAGCUAAUACCGCAUAACGUCGCAAGACCAAAGUGGGGGACCUUCGGGCCUCACACCAUCGGAUGUGCCCAGAUGGGAUUAACUAGUAGGUGGGGUAAUGGCUCACCUAGGUGACGAUCCCUAGCUGGUCUGAGAGGAUGACCAGCCACACUGGAACUGAGACACGGUCCAGACUCCUACGGGAGGCAGCAGUGGGGAAUAUUGCACAAUGGGCGCAAGCCUGAUGCAGCCAUGCCGCGUGUAUGAAGAAGGCCUUCGGGUUGUAAAGUACUUUCAGCGGGGAGGAAGGCGGUGGAGUUAAUAACUUCACCGAUUGACGUUACCCGCAGAAGAAGCACCGGCUAACUCCGUGCCAGCAGCCGCCGUAA
RNAcentral lists this ribosomal RNA (504 nucleotides) under uncultured bacterium. RNAcentral's name for it is "partial 16S ribosomal RNA". It matches the Rfam family "Bacterial small subunit ribosomal RNA", at positions 30 to 523 of the family's 1533-position model. The record is from RNAcentral.